This 394-nucleotide ribosomal RNA is filed under the name uncultured bacterium. RNAcentral describes it as "partial 16S ribosomal RNA". It matches the Rfam family "Bacterial small subunit ribosomal RNA", at positions 523 to 916 of the family's 1533-position model. The record is from RNAcentral.
AUACGUAGGGAGCGAGCGUUGUCCGGAAUUACUGGGUGUAAAGGGUGCGUAGGCGGGACUGCAAGUCAGAUGUGAAAUGCCGGGGCUAAACCCCGGAGAUGCAUCUGAAACUGUGGUUCUUGAGUGGGGUAGAGGGAAGAGGAAUUCAUAGUGUAGAGGUGAAAUGCGUAGAUAGUGAGAGGAACAUCGGUGGCGAAGGCGGCCUGGUGAGCCUUUACUGACGCUGAUGCACGAAAGCGUGGGGAGCAAACAGGAUUAGAAACCCUUGUAGUCCGCGCUGUAAACGAUGAUGACGAGGUUUGGGGUGUCUGAGCCCUUCCGUGGCGCAGUUAACAUAAUAUGUCCUGCACCUGGAGAAUACGGCCGCAAGUUUGAAACUAAUAAGAAGUUGCGG